This 492-nucleotide ribosomal RNA is filed under the name uncultured bacterium. Its description in RNAcentral is "partial 16S ribosomal RNA". It matches the Rfam family "Bacterial small subunit ribosomal RNA", at positions 29 to 507 of the family's 1533-position model. The record is from RNAcentral.
AGUGAACGCUGGCGGUAGGCCUAACACAUGCAAGUCGAACGGCAGCACAGUAGGAGCUUGCUCUUACGGGUGGCGAGUGGCGGACGGGUGAGGAAUACAUCGGAAUCUACUUUUUCGUGGGGGAUAACGUAGGGAAACUUACGCUAAUACCGCAUACGACCUACGGGUGAAAGCAGGGGAUCUUCGGACCUUGCGCGAUUGAAUGAGCCGAUGUCGGAUUAGCUAGUUGGCGGGGUAAAGGCCCACCAAGGCGACGAUCCGUAGCUGGUCUGAGAGGAUGAUCAGCCACACUGGAACUGAGACACGGUCCAGACUCCUACAGGAGGCAGCAGUGGGGAAUAUUGGACAAUGGGCGCAAGCCUGAUCCAGCCAUACCGCGUGGGUGAAGAAGGCCUUCGGGUUGUAAAGCCCUUUUGUUGGGAAAGAAAAGCAGCAGGUUAAUACCCCGCUGUUCUGACGGUACCCAAAGAAUAAGCACCGGCUAACUUCGUG